Molecule: long non-coding RNA, 2482 nt
Filed under: Cricetulus griseus (Chinese hamster)
Lineage: Eukaryota; Metazoa; Chordata; Mammalia; Rodentia; Cricetidae
Description: lncRNA (ENSCGRG00015030178.1)
Source: RNAcentral
GCGGCGGCCGCGGCCGCGGCCUGGCUCCCCUGCAGGCCUGCGCGUGGCACCGGGGACGCCGGCCCGCCGUGUAGCCGGACGACCGUGCUCGCUCGCCGCGGACGGCCGGGGAGCUCCCGAGCCUACGGGCAGCGUCGAAGCGCGUCUUCGGCGGCAACCCCGCCUCGCCCGGUGACGUGCAGUGUAAACCCCAGGUUCCACGCGGCUUGCGGGGUGCAUGCUCCGCAGAUGCGGGCUCGGGAGGGAGCUCGGCCCGCGUGUCUUCAGGGACACCGCCCCACAUCUGGAAGCAGGCAGCGUCCCGGGCUUCAGCAAGUGGAGGUGCACAGACUGUCCACGGGCUAGCCGUGCUCCCGCGGCCUGGCUUCUCUUUCCCUCCCAAGUCCCCAAAGCGCUCCCAGACAUGCGGCGUCUGUGCCAGGGCACCCGGUUUGUGCAGCAAGGCAGAGCUUUUAACCCUUGGAAGGCAUGGAUUCUGGAGCCUGGUGCCAGUUUACAACUCUCAGAAGAACCUAUAACCAUACCAAGAGAAUGCCUUUUUUUUUUUUUUUUUCAGAAUCAGUGUUUGCUGAGGACCUUGUUGAACAAACAACUAGUAAAAAUCCUUCCACAAACAAACCUGUGCACAUUUGUGAGGACAAUUUGUGAGGCCUGGAGUCCUUUCCAGAAUCACGUGAAUAACCCUAAAACCAACUGUUUUACUUCCUCCACUGUGUAUCUGUGUAGCAAUCAAAUCAACUAGACUCCAGGCUCCCAGGUGGCUUUGUGCACUCAGGCUAGACCUUCAGUUGCAAGAGGUAAUGACACAGAAAGGAGGUAUGGAGACUUUCACAGCUAACAGAACUCUUCCAGAGAACAGAGUGUAGAAUCAGAGGGCCCACUCACUGUCCAGUCAUCAAGAUGUCAGGCUGGCAAGAGGCAUAAGGAAGUCUUGCUUUGGGUAAUCUGGAUUUAAGAACAAACGGAGUACAGGAUGAUCUGAGCAGAGAUACACACCGUGGGACAUCACGGUGUAUGAAAACCUGGCUUUUGAGUUCAGAUGGUCACCUGGUCAAGAUCAUCUGACACUUACUUCAGGGCUUGAUUUUUCUUCACUGGAGAGAAAUCUAUUUCAGAAUCAUUAAGGCCUGAAGUUGCCAACCAGGGAUGACUGUCCCUCUAAGAAACACUUAGCGGUUCGAAGACUUUCUCUUUGUUCCAGGCAGGGUGGCCACGGGAAUGCAGCAGGUAGAAUUCAGAGAUGAUAAAAAUACCCUAAAUGUCUAGACUGCCCUCUUUCUACUGAGAACUAUCCAGCCUCGGGUGAAAGUGUGGAGGAAAGAAACCUCAACCCCCAAAUGGUUUGUAUUUGAUUAAGUUCAUUUUAGGAAGAAAUUGGGCCUAAAUUCCAAUUAUUUUCAAUAGCUGACAAAAUUAGCCAUUUGGUAAAUGGAAUUAGCCUAAAGGGUUUAUCAAUGUCCACUCCUACCUUCAAUUUUUCCAGACCCAAGAAGUAAGUGAUUUUCAGGAAAAUUGGUGAAACACAUGGAUCAUAUUUUCUUAAGUUUUAUUUUGAAGUAUAAAACAAUUAAGGCCAGAUGGGUUUUGGUUGAAAAUCACUAAUAAAUACUUCAAGUCCGCAACUUUGCUGUAACUCAGAAAAAUGUCACUAAUAACAGCUACACACCAAGUGGAACUAGAAGAACUCAGUGUUUGGAGGUGUCACCCAACAGAAGUAUCCGUGAGUGAUGUCUGCAUCUUCAUAGCCCCCAGAAACACCUCCCUUCCUCAAUCAGUUAAAGAAACAGGCAUCGGAGGAAGCAAUGUCCAAGUCUGUAUGCAUUCUCUGGACAGGGUCCUUAGACAGAGUAAAACCUCCGUUUCAAACUCAGAGUUCUCUGCAUGCUCCUCCGCUGGCAGGGUGAUCCCUGCCUUACUCUACCCUAUUACUAAUAACUGUAGGAAGUACAGAUAACCAAGCAGAGUUUCAGAGCCAGCAAGGCUCAAAGAAAUGACAAGUGAAGACACUCGGCAGGCCAGAGCAGGGAAGCACAGCCAUGUGCAGCACAAAUGGUCAAAAGAAGCCUUACGUUUCUCUUUGAAGAGAAUAAACCGGCUGGAGAGGUGGCCCAAACUGCUCUCCCUGAGGAGAGGAGAGGUGGCCCAGUUAGGAGCACAAACCGCUCUCCCUGAGGAGAGGAGAGGUGGCCCACAGUUAGGAGCACAAACUGCUCUUCCUGAGGAGAGGGAAGGUGGCCCACAGUUAGGAGCACAAACCCCUCUCCCUGAGGACCUGAGUGAGAUGCCAGAACACAGUGGAGUGGCUCUCGAUCACCUAUAACUGCCACUCCAGGGGAACCAGUGCCCUCUUCUGGCCUCUGUGGGCAAUUGCACUUACAUGCACAAACCCACAAACAGAUGUGCAAAUGCACACACACAAAUAUAAAAAUAAACCUUAAAAAAGACAGAGAAUAAACCAAAGGGUCACACCAACAGGAGAUCA